RNAcentral lists this transfer RNA (77 nucleotides) under Lactobacillus crispatus 214-1. RNAcentral's name for it is "tRNA-Glu". It matches the Rfam family "tRNA". From Rfam's summary of the family: Transfer RNA (tRNA) molecules are approximately 80 nucleotides in length. Their secondary structure includes four short double-helical elements and three loops (D, anti-codon, and T loops). Lineage: Bacteria; Bacillati; Bacillota; Bacilli; Lactobacillales; Lactobacillaceae. The record is from RNAcentral.
UCGCCCGUUGGUCAAAUGGUUAAGACGCUACCCUCUCAAGGUGGAGUUAUGAGUUCAAUUCUCGUACGGGUGAUUUA